CCUGGUGAUUUAAUCAGACGUGACCCACCUCUUUCCUUUCCGAACAGAGAAGUGAAAGCGUCUGGUCCCGAAAAUACUCUCAAGGGAAGAUAGGGUUUGCCCGGA
This 105-nucleotide ribosomal RNA is filed under the name bacterium. The record is from RNAcentral.